UCAUUUCAUCCUCUCUGUUUGGAUAAGGCUGAGGGGGAGCUCAAGCAGCGGAGCAGGAGGCGAUUCUCCCCGUCCAUGGCGAUUUUGAGACCUUCCCCCACUCGAGCUUGAUUUCUCUCCCCUUCCUCUUCGCUCCCCGGUGUCGCGGUUUAAAUGGGUAGGCUACGGAAAGUGUCUCAUCAGGAUGUUCCAUUAAUAUCAUCUUUAGAGAGUGCAGAUUCAGUGGAUGAUGAAGAUGGUUCUCAUCCUGUGUCUCCGGAUCUAUCUCGAGAUGAAGGAGAGUUCGACAAGGCUCUUUUGAAGUUCUAUCUCAAUCAAUAAGUAAAAUGCUUAAAGAGGAAACUAUCAUCUGCUUCUAGGAGGAAUGUGAGGCAGAAACGAUCUACUGAUUUCCCCACUUGUGCUACUUUCACUAGAUAUUCUGGGAAGUUCUUCUCUGGUGUUGUUGCUGGAAUGUGUCCUAGGUAUCAGAAUGUCAUCCAGACAUACGUCAUGGGCUGUCUCUUAAACUUUGUUAGGACUGAGGUUCCCCUUAGGCUAGUGAAGUGGCUUGCUAGUAGGUUUGAUGUCCCUUCAUCUGAAUUCCAGUUCGAAAGGAAAUUUAUCCCAAUGACCAAGUAUGAUAUCCAUGAUAUCCUUGACCUCCUAGUAGAUGGUGAGCCACUUGUGUCUGAUCCUGAGUCUGGCCGUGAUUUUAUCCUGUCUCACUUCAAUGUUUCUAGUAUUCCUCA
Long non-coding RNA from Triticum aestivum (bread wheat), 731 nucleotides. RefSeq lists it as uncharacterized. Lineage: Eukaryota; Viridiplantae; Streptophyta; Magnoliopsida; Poales; Poaceae. The record is from RefSeq and is a predicted model, not a curated record. The transcript has 6 exons.